GGGUGUUUAGCUCAGUUGGUUCAGAGCGCCGCCUUGACAGGGCGGAGGUCGGCAGUUCGAGCCUGCCAACACCCACCA
RNAcentral lists this transfer RNA (78 nucleotides) under Saprospiraceae bacterium. Its description in RNAcentral is "tRNA-Val". The record is from RNAcentral. Lineage: Bacteria; Pseudomonadati; Bacteroidota; Saprospiria; Saprospirales; Saprospiraceae.